GUCUGCUUCCCAUGUCCUGCUUACAGGCUUCCCAUCUGGUUGAACAAAGUGAGAAUAAGACGUUGGACUGGGUGAGCCAUCAGCCUGAGUUGCUGUCAGGCAAUACUUUGACACAAUUUAUGAAGCAUGUGUGGAAUGUACAUGCAUAUCUGAAAGGUAUCCUGCACUACCUGGAAGUAUAUAUUGCUAUUACAAUUUCAUUCUGUCAUAUUCAAUUUCCCUAACAGCAUACAUGAUACAUUCGCCAGCACUUCAGCCAUAUUUUCUGGUUAUAGCUUCCAUAGUCCAGAUCAUUGAUUCAUUGACUGUUAUCUCCAUUACUAGACCAGUAAUUGAGGAGGCUCUAUUAAGCAGUUGUAUUUAUUUCCCAGCCCCCUUCCUGUGGCACAACAUUUUGUUUACAUUUUUCUUGAAGUCUCAUCUUCAGUCAUAAUAGUAGUUUGUUAUCAUUUGCAAAAGCAAAAAUUAAAAGAACUAAAUAUAUGAGGAGGAGGUAAGAAAUAACACCAUUCAAGGUUGCUGAAUAAAUGUGGUUUAGAGUCUCUUUUACACACACACACACACACACACACACACACGUGUGUGCAAUGUUUAUAAAUCUGCUUCCUGUUUUUAUAGCACUUCUGGCAUGGCGGAAGCUGGAUGUGAUCCAACAUAGGUUUUAAAAUGAAAAUACGGAUCUCCUCCCUUCACAAAACUACACCAGGACAUGCAGCCAUGAAAGAUACUGGUAAACCCCAAUCUGAGUAGUUCAUUGAGGCUAAUGUUUCUGUAACUGUACCAUUCUCUACUUAGACAUCUUCUCUGUAUUUUCCUUGGUCCCUGAAACUCCCCGGUCACUGCUAAUGACAAAAAGACUACCAUCUGCUUAAGCAAAAUGAGGGCAGAGUAUUAAUACUUGUUCCCUAGGUCAAUUGGCCAAAUCAUCAGUUUGGGUUGCACUCGUUGCUGUGUCCAAAUCCUUGCCCUUUAGAUUGGCUUAAGUCAAAAGAUCAAAGAACCUAUCAACUGUCAAGUGUCCAGAUAUCAGUCUGACUACUAAUAUUUAAAUAGUUCCAUUUAUAUACAGCCCCCCCCCCGUCUGUCUGCUUUCAAAGCAGUGACCUGUGUGGUUACUCUGAUUAUAUCUUAUUGUUCUCUUUGUAAACAUUUGAAUAAACAGGACUGCCAUGCUAUUAACAUUCUGGAACAUAUAUUUUAAACACAAUUACUUAAAUAUUCUGGUUUAAAAUAAGUAUGUCCUGCAGGCCUAAAUGUUUCUGCCCCUUAUUAUCUGCACAGUUCUACUGGUCUCAUUCAGCAUUUAUUUGGAAUAUAUGUAUAAUUGCCAAGCAUUACAAAAUACACAUUACAUAUUAAGAUAAUGUAUAUUUUGUAAGAGUGUCAGCUGAUGAAAGAAUGUGAAAAUUAUAUUAAGCUUGUUUAGAGCAUUACUUUACCUCAAUAUAACUAGUUUAUUUCAAGCUGAAUUCAUCAUGAAAUUGCUUCCACAUGCACUGAAGUGCAGCUGGAUUUGUAUUUUUUAAAAGGAGCCAACCCAGUGCAAGUGGGUUGUCCAUUAACACUAGUUCUAGCUGCAAUUUACUAUGCUAGUGUCAAUGAAAUCCCUAUUGGCCUUGUUAUGUACUGAAGUUGUCACCCUGGGCCAGCAGGGGGAUACUGUAGAUAGUUAUGCAAAUAAGGGAUCAAAAGUGACGUUCAGUGAUUGGAUAGUUUUAGAAAGUUGUUGCAGUAACGUUGUACUGGAGCUCUAUAUAAGCAGGCUGACUGAACCCUUUCAGUUCGGUUUUGUCCUGGCCUGUGAAUAAACAAGAGCUGUUUGAAGAAUCACUGUGUCGUCUGAUAUGUUCACCCACAACUUAACAGGCCUGAUGACUCACUUGAUCUUUAGUAGGUUGGAGGAGGGCCAUCUGCAGUGGUGACUCUGCAACAUAGCAGAAAGAAGACCAGACGCUCAGUGCAGCUGCUACAGCAGGGAUGGGGGAACCUGUGACAUUGAAGCUUUGGGGAGACCAGCAGUUCCUGGGGGGACACUGUGCUGCAGCGUAUUCGAGAAAGAGAUGAUUCAGUCACACUGUUAGAGUUUCCAGUUAGAGAUUCCUGGGACAACUGCAAACAAAGCAUUUUAAGUGUGUUGUAAAGUGCAAUAUACAAAUCUGACACUAGAUGGUGACAGAGAGCUAUGAUAAUUUCAAUGGAUUUUUCAAAACUUUUUUUUUUAAAAAAAAGCAUUUUCACAGCAUUUUUUAUAUGUGUGUAGAUUCCUCCCUAGUGUGUGUGUGUGUGUAUGUGUGUUUGUUUGUUUGUAGAAGUUCUUGACAAAUGUUUAAAACAAUGAGCUAAAACCCCAUAAGGUUAUACAUACUAGGUAAACACCUUAUCCUCCCUUGCCCUCUUUGUUCUCAUCUCAAUCAAAGAUUACCAAAAAAGAAAGUCAAAAUAAAUAUAGCCACUUUCUCUGUCCCCCCCCCCCUCUUUCUCACCCACCCACCCACCACCUUUUUGAAAGCUAUACAGUGGUACCUCAGGUUACAUACGCUUCAGGUUACAUAUGCUUCAGGUUACAGACUCCCCUCACCCAGAAAUAGUGCUUCAGGUUAAGAACUUUGCUUCAGGAUGAGAACAGAAACUGUGCCCCGGCAGCGCAGCGGCAGCAGGAGGCCCCGUUAGCUAAAGUGGUGCUUCAGGUUAAGAACAGUUUCAGGUUAAGUACGGACCUCUGGAACGAAUUAAGUACUUAACCCAAGGUACCACUGUAUAUGAUUAGGGCCCUGACAUUGCCUGGACUAGGGACGCGCAUCUGGUACAAAAUGUUUACAAUAACAGCUUGCAGUAUUGCAAGCGAAUAAUCAAGAGUCAUGGCACAUUAAAUAGGCAUAAAAUGCCAUUCCAUUCAGAAGUGGUAAAUAUGUAGGGCACAUUUUUCCAGUCAUUUUUGGAUGUUAGAACUCUGCAUUAACACAGGAGCCAGAACAUAGUUCUUGUUUUGUUUUGUUUUUUAAUCAGGAAAAUGGCCCAGGAGAAAAGAAUUCGCUCAUCUUCUCAGCCUGCAAUAUGAAUCAGAUCUCCCUGUCCAUAAAGUCAUAGGAACAUAGGAUGCUGCCUUAUACUGGACUGUUGGCCCAUUUGCCUCUGUGUUUACACUUGGCUGGCAGUGGCUCUCCAUGGAUAUUCCCAGCCCUGCCUGGAUGUGGUGGGGACUAAACCUGGGACCUUUUGGUGUAAAACAAGAUAGUACUGCCACUGAACAAUGGACCAGUCACUGUUCAACUUAAAAAAAAAAAGCCACAACAACCAGGGUUUCCCAAUGUCAUCUCACAUUGCAACCACACCACUUUCUUCAUUUCUUUUAUUUUGAAAGUUGCAUUAAAAAUAUUUUUAAUUUUGUAACUCCUGUGAGGUGUUAAUUAAUUAUAUCUGGGAUAAAACAAAUGGCCCUCUGCUGUCUGAACAGCACACUCCCCAAAACAAGAGUGCUAUUCAUCCAUUAUUGAAGUUGUGCAAGAAAUGGGCAAUAAAGCCCAUCUUUAUAAUCUAUUCAGCAGUCUGGUCUUUUUAGGUGUGCAUCCGCCGUGUCAUAUUCUCAUGCAUUUGUGAGUAAUAAUUCAUUUCAUAAUUUGUUUACCAGGGGAAGACCUGACAGAGAAAUGCCAUUUCAUAUUCUAAGGAUCAUAAAACAGUAACCCGAGGUGUAAUUGGUACAAGCACUAACCUUUUCUCUACACGCUGUUUAUUACAAAAUUAUUUGUUUGCACAACAUUUGUACCAAGGAGCUUUUCUCCUAGUCUAUCUCACGCUUGUUUCAGCUGGCUGAGAUGCUGGAGAAAGAGCUUCACUUAAGUGGGAGAAAUCCACAUAUUGGCAGCUGCUUCAGUCUCAUGCCUACUUAGAAGCAACUGCUAUUGAAUUUAGCUGGGGUUCCUUCCAGGUAGGAAUGGGAGAAUCUGUCAAUUUUGGUCUCUCUAAAUUCCUCAUAUUUUCAAUCUGAAAUUCAGUUCUCCACAUUUCCAUAUCAAUUUACAUUAAAAAACAACACAAUCCUCACAAUUGCAUUUUCAUUUUAGUGCAAAUUCUCUUAUAACAACAACAACAACUUUUAUUUAUACCCCGCCCUCCCCAGCCAAAACCGGGCUCAGAGCAGCUAACAUCAAAUAUAUGACACAUUACCAUAAAAUCGAGCAAUCAAUUAAAAUACAUCUUAAAAUACAUGUUUCAUAUGCAUUUUUGCCUAAUAUAUAAUUGUUUGCAAUGAAGUUUCCCCUAAUGUAAUGCAUUUUUGUAUGUUAUUUUCACUAAUACUGUGGAACCUCGGUUUUCAAACGUAAUCCGUUCUGGAAGACCGUUCAACUUCUGAAAUGUUUGAAAACCGAAGCAUACAUUUCUGGAAGCAAUUACGUCUGGAACACUCAGUACGGAAGCCACAUGGCACAUUCAGCUUCAAAGAAGCAUUUGAAAACAUAAGCAUUUACUUCUGGGUUUUGGCGUUCAAAAGCCGAACUGUUCGACUUCUGAGACGCUCAAAAACUGAGGUACCAUUGUAUAUGAUUUUAAUGCACAAUGUAUCACAACAUACACAUUUUGUACACAUUCCUUGCCUGCAUUUAGACAAUCUGGAUACAAAUUUCAAAGGACUGCUAUAUUUUGAUUUGUGUAUUGUUCUGGAAAGUGUGAUUAGGUAGGUUUGCCUUUAAGUGCAAACUGAAUCAUAUUUCUCCCUCAUCCCUAUUCUACACCUAGCCCUAAUGGACUCCACUAGCCUCUACCCUCAGAGUGAUACCAAUGUCUCUCUGUCAGCGUGGAGCUUCCUGUUAAUGCCUGCUGAACAUGCAGGUGGAUAAAAGUACCACUAGUGGGAUCCCUGCCAGCAUUAGACCACGGAAAGCCUUGAAAUGGGCCAUUAUGGGGUCAAGAAUGUGCUGAGUCAGCCCCACUGCGCUCUCUCUCUCUCUCUCUCUCUCUCUCUCUCACACACACACACACACGUGCAAUAUUCACGGUGGUAGUUAACGACUUAAUAGGGGACAACCUGAGUUGUUGAAAUGAGUUUUGCACUUUUUGUUUCCCCAAUAGAAUAUGUUCUCCAGAUGUUGUUAGAAUACAACUCCUAUCAUCCUUGAAGGGAGCUGGAUUCCAACAACAUCUGGAAAGUCACAAGUUCCCUGAAUUCCCAAUACUAUAAGCUUGCAUAUACUUAGAUGGAUUUUUAAAAGGUGGAAAUGGUUAUGACAGAUUGAAUUUCUAUGCUACCUUUUUACUAAGGAGCUCAAAGUGGUGUGUACGUUUUUCUCUCCCACCCUAUUUUUAACCUCACAACAACUAUGUAUGGUAGGUCAGGAUGAAACAAGCUGUGAUUGGCCCACAAUCACUGAGUGGGUUUCAUGGUUGGGUGGGAGGAUUUUUAGCCUGAUUUCCCUGGUCCUAGUGCAGACUCUAACCACCACUGGCUCUUCAUGUGAUCUAAUGUUAUAUUCCCACCACUGCACACAAACACAUAUGCAAAGAAAAAAGUUGGAGAGCAUUCAUUCUAUAAAAGUUCAUUUUGUUUCAGUUUAUUUCCCCAUCAUGCUGCUUUUUAACAGCAUAUGCAUUUUGAAUCUAAUUUAUAUUGGCUGCAAUAGGUUUGGACCAGUUUCCCUGCUGCCAUCCAUCACUGAAACUAUAUAAAUGCAGUCAAAGCAUUUGAAAAUAUUAGAGCAUCCACUUUCCCCAUUACUUUCAUGAAGAACACAUUCAUUUUUAAUAGGAAAUGUUAUCUGAAGUUUAUGAUGUAACCCUACCCGAGAGAGAUUGUCCCAAUGACUUUUUAGUUGUUAUGAGGCUAAUAGACAUCUCUCCCUUUUGGCUCUCUACUUUGACUGCUCUGAAGUGAGGCUAAUAUGGCACAAAAGGAAACAGUUAAAAAGAGUCCGGUGGUCCUUUAAAAAUUGAUUGUGGCUUGAAGAAAGCUGUCUCUUGGCAGACGUCACUGCAAUGUCUGACAAGGAAAGACAGAAAAGAUAAAGGGCCGGAAAAUAUUCUGAAUCACGUAUUACUCUUCC
Non-coding RNA from Podarcis lilfordi (Lilford's wall lizard), 6038 nucleotides. Lineage: Eukaryota; Metazoa; Chordata; Lepidosauria; Squamata; Lacertidae. The record is from the annotation of a GenBank genome assembly.